RNAcentral lists this ribosomal RNA (500 nucleotides) under uncultured bacterium. RNAcentral's name for it is "bacterial SSU rRNA". It matches the Rfam family "Bacterial small subunit ribosomal RNA", at positions 95 to 593 of the family's 1533-position model. The record is from RNAcentral.
CCGGCGCACGGGAGCGUAACGCGUAUGCAAUCUACCUUUUACAGAGGGAUAGCCCAGAGAAAUUUGGAUUAAUACCUCAUAGUAUUAUUGAAUGGCAUCAUUUAAUAAUUAAAGUCACAACGGUAAAAGAUGAGCAUGCGUCCCAUUAGCUUGUUGGUAAGGUAACGGCUUACCAAGGCAACGAUGGGUAGGGGUCCUGAGAGGGAGAUCCCCCACACUGGUACUGAGACACGGACCAGACUCCUACGGGAGGCAGCAGUGAGGAAUAUUGGUCAAUGGGCGCAAGCCUGAACCAGCCAUGCCGCGUGCAGGAUGACGGUCCUAUGGAUUGUAAACUGCUUUUGUACAGGAAGAAACAGUUCUACGUGUAGAACCUUGACGGUACUGUAAGAAUAAGGAUCGGCUAACUCCGUGCCAGCAGCCGCGGUAAUACGGAGGAUCCAAGCGUUAUCCGGAAUCAUUGGGUUUAAAGGGUCCCUAAGCCGUUUUGUAAGUCAGUG